UGAGACACCUCCUCAGUGUGCUACAUAAG
RNAcentral lists this non-coding RNA (29 nucleotides) under Rattus norvegicus (Norway rat). The record is from RNAcentral. Lineage: Eukaryota; Metazoa; Chordata; Mammalia; Rodentia; Muridae.